UGGUGGAAAUUACACAUGUAAAGCACAAAGUUAUAAUGAUCCACGUUUUACAAAUGAAAAAUCUAUUGAAGUAACAGUGAAAGCUACUUACAACGUUCUUUGUGAUGACAUAAAUGAGAGAAUAAAACAGUACAAAACAGAAUGGUACAUUAAUUUAA
This is a long non-coding RNA of Xenia sp. Carnegie-2017, 158 nucleotides long. RefSeq lists it as uncharacterized. The transcript is spliced from 2 exons. NCBI's taxonomy places the organism in Eukaryota, Metazoa, Cnidaria, Anthozoa, Malacalcyonacea, Xeniidae. The record is from RefSeq and is a predicted model, not a curated record.